This 465-nucleotide ribosomal RNA is filed under the name uncultured bacterium. RNAcentral's name for it is "partial 16S ribosomal RNA". It matches the Rfam family "Bacterial small subunit ribosomal RNA", at positions 28 to 507 of the family's 1533-position model. The record is from RNAcentral.
GAUGAACGCUGGCGGCGUGCUUAACACAUGCAAGUCGAACGGAAAGGCUCCUGCUUGCAGGGGUACUCGAGUGGCGAACGGGUGAGUAACACGUGGGUGAUCUGCCCUGCACUUCGGGAUAAGCCUGGGAAACUGGGUCUAAUACCGGAUAGGACGAUGGUUUGGAUGCCAUUGUGGAAAGUUUUUCGGUGUGGGAUGAGCUCGCGGCCUAUCAGCUUGUUGGUGGGGUAAUGGCUUACCAAGGCGUCGACGGGUAGCCGGCCUGAGAGGGUGUACGGCCACAUUGGGACUGAGAUACGGCCCAGACUCCUACGGGAGGCAGCAGUGGGGAAUAUUGCACAAUGGGCGCAAGCCUGAUGCAGCGACGCCGCGUGGGGGAUGACGGCCUUCGGGUGGUAAACUCCUUUCGCUAGGGACGAAGCGCAAGUGACGGUACCUGGAGAAGAAGCACCGGCUAACUACGUG